GGGCCCGCACAAGCGGUGGAGCAUGUGGUUUAAUUCGACGCAACGCGAAGAACCUUACCUACACUUGACAUCCUCGGAACUUUCUAGAGAUAGAUUGGUGCCUUCGGGAACCGAGUGACAGGUGCUGCAUGGCUGUCGUCAGCUCGUGUCGUGAGAUGUUGGGUUAAGUCCCGUAACGAGCGCAACCCUUAUCCUUAAUUGCCAGCGGUUAGGCCGGGAACUCUAAGGAGACUGCCGAUGACAAAUCGGAGGAAGGUGGGGACGACGUCAAGUCAUCAUGGCCCUUACGUGUAGGGCUACACACGUGCUACAAUGGCCGGUACAAACGGUUGCGAACCCGCGAGGGGAAGCUAAUCCGAGAAAGCCGGUCGUAGUCCGGAUUGGGGUCUGCAACUCGACCCCAUG
RNAcentral lists this ribosomal RNA (405 nucleotides) under uncultured bacterium. RNAcentral's name for it is "bacterial SSU rRNA". It matches the Rfam family "Bacterial small subunit ribosomal RNA", at positions 917 to 1322 of the family's 1533-position model. The record is from RNAcentral.